UACGUAGGGUCCGAGCGUUGUCCGGAAUUAUUGGGCGUAAAGAGCUCGUAGGCGGUUUGUCGCGUCUGCUGUGAAAUCCCGAGGCUCAACCUCGGGUCUGCAGUGGGUACGGGCAGACUGGAGUGCGGUAGGGGAGAAUGGAAUUCCUGGUGUAGCGGUGGAAUGCGUAGAUAUCGAGAGGAACACCUGCGGCGAAGGCGGGUUGCUGGGCUGAUACUGACGCUGAGGCGCGAAAGCUAGGGGAGCGAACGGG
Molecule: ribosomal RNA, 253 nt
Filed under: uncultured bacterium
Lineage: Bacteria
Description: partial 16S ribosomal RNA
Rfam family: Bacterial small subunit ribosomal RNA
Source: RNAcentral